AUGAAUCAGGUGACGUCCUUGCCGUCAGGGGGCUCUCAUCUUGCAGACACAGGACACAACAGAGCAGGAACAUGGGGUGAUUAAUGUUGUAAAAACAGCCAUGCAGCCACCGUAGGCAUUCCGCCUUGUGAGACAGAGACUGAUUCCUUGGAAGUACCUCUUCUCAGCCAGUAUGGGGUCUUCGUUGCUGUGCAGAAGAGUCCUUCCAUCCCCAACUCCUGCACCAAGCAAGUUUCCAGAACUUCCCAAUGCUGAUGAAGUCGAGUAAAGAAUUUUUUCAGGCCAGUCUCAAUUCAACCAACCUCUUAUGCCGAACAUGUUUAAGACACGCUGGAGUAUCUGGUGGAGGACAUUGGCAGCUGGAGCCUUCCGGAACUUGCUGCCAUUACUGAAACAAGAGAAAACAAUUGGAACCAGCUAACUGUCCAUCAGUAGGGGAUUGGUUACAUAAUUUAUGAUACAACCAUUUAUAGGGAAACAAUACAAAGUUCUCUAUUUACAAAUAUGGGAAGAUCUCCAAGUGAAAAAAGGCAGGUGCAGCACAGUGACUAUGGGCUGCUUUUAUAUAAAAAUAGAGUAUAAUAAAAUGUUAUAUUCUUACUA
This is a long non-coding RNA of Suricata suricatta (meerkat), 603 nucleotides long. RefSeq lists it as uncharacterized. The transcript is spliced from 2 exons. NCBI's taxonomy places the organism in Eukaryota, Metazoa, Chordata, Mammalia, Carnivora, Herpestidae. The record is from RefSeq and is a predicted model, not a curated record.